This 465-nucleotide ribosomal RNA is filed under the name uncultured bacterium. RNAcentral describes it as "partial 16S ribosomal RNA". It matches the Rfam family "Bacterial small subunit ribosomal RNA", at positions 338 to 795 of the family's 1533-position model. The record is from RNAcentral.
CCUACGGGGGGCAGCAGUGGGGAAUAUUGCGCAAUGGGCGAAAGCCUGACGCAGCGACGCCGCGUGAGGGAUGAAGGUCUUCGGAUCGUAAACCUCUGUCAGCAGGGAAGAACGGUCACUGUGCUAAUCAGCAGUGAAUUGACGGUACCUGCAAAGGAAGCACCGGCUAACUCCGUGCCAGCAGCCGCGGUAAUACGGAGGGUGCGAGCGUUAAUCGGAAUUACUGGGCGUAAAGCGCUCGUAGGCGGUAUGUCAAGUCAAGGGUGAAAUCCCCGCGCUCAACGUGGGAACUGCCUUUGAAGCUGGGAAACUGGAGUGUGUGAGAGGAUAGUGGAAUUCCAGGGGUAGGAGUGAAAUGCGUAGAUAUCUGGAGGAACAUCAGUGGCGAAGGCGACUAUCUGGCACAUAACUGACGCUGAGGAGCGAAAGCGUGGGUAACAAACAGGAUUAGAUACCCGAGUAGUC